Molecule: ribosomal RNA, 709 nt
Filed under: uncultured bacterium
Lineage: Bacteria
Description: SSU rRNA
Rfam family: Bacterial small subunit ribosomal RNA
Source: RNAcentral
UUUCGUGUCAUAGUGGCGCACGGGUGCGUAACGCGUGGGAAUCUGCCCCUUGGUUCGGAAUAUCUCAGAGAAAUUUGAGCUAAUACCGGAUGACGACGUAAGUCCAAAGAUUUAUCGCCGAGGGAUGAGCCCGCGUAGGAUUAGUUAGUUGGUGGGGUAAAGGCCUACCAAGGCGACGAUCCUUAGCUGGUCUGAGAGGAUGAUCAGCCACACUGGGACCGAGACACGGCCCAGACUCCCACGGGAGGCAGCAGUGGGGAAUAUUGGACAAUGGGCGAAAGCCUGAUCCAGCAAUGCCGCGUGAGUGAUGAAGGCCUUAGGGUUGUAAAGCUCUUUUACCCGGGAUGAUAAUGACAGUACCGGGAGAAUAAGCUCCGGCUAACUCCGUGCCAGCAGCCGCGGUAAUACGGAGGGAGCUAGCGUUGUUCGGAAUUACUGGGCGUAAAGCGCACGUAGGCGGCUUUGUAAGUUAGAGGUGAAAGCCUGGAGCUCAACUCCAGAACUGCCUUUGAUACUGCAUGGCUUGAAUCCAAGAGAGGUGAGUGGAAUUCCGAGUGUAGAGGUGAAAUUCGUAGAUAUUCGGAAGAACACCAGUGGCGAACGCGGCUCACUGGCUUGGUAUUGACGCUGAGUGCGAAAGCGUGGGGAGCAAACAGGAUUAGAUACCCUGGUAGUCCACGCCGUAAACGGAUGAUAACUAAGCUGUCGG